GCGAAAAUGCACCUAAAUGAUCAAUUGGAAGAAAAGGGUUGAUAAUCUAUUAAUCCUUUUAUUCUACUUCUUUCUGAUUAAAUAUCAAUUCAGUAAGCACGCCAACCAUUCGAUUGGACACAAGUGUGCUGAAUUAUCAUUUCAUAGGUCAUAACUAAUAAACUACAUCUUCUUCCUAAAUACAGUGUGAAUGAGAAAGUAAUGAAAUUUACAACUAUCAUUUCCCAGCCUCCAGGAAUCUCCUCUAACUUCAGUAUCCAUGUCCCUUGUGUUUUGGAUUUAGCUGCUAAUUGGUGACAGCACAAAUCAGAGCAUUCUGUUCUCCUACACCCAUUGUGUGUGGUUACU
This 348-nucleotide unclassified non-coding RNA is filed under the name Hevea brasiliensis (rubber tree). Lineage: Eukaryota; Viridiplantae; Streptophyta; Magnoliopsida; Malpighiales; Euphorbiaceae. The record is from RNAcentral.